RNAcentral lists this ribosomal RNA (460 nucleotides) under uncultured bacterium. RNAcentral's name for it is "partial 16S ribosomal RNA". It matches the Rfam family "Bacterial small subunit ribosomal RNA", at positions 338 to 795 of the family's 1533-position model. The record is from RNAcentral.
CCUACGUGUGGCAGCAGUGAGGAAUAUUGGUCAAUGGGCGCUAGCCUGAACCAGCCAAGUCGCGUGAAGGAUGACUGCCCUAUGGGUUGUAAACUUCUUUUAUAUGGGAAUAAAGUGCAGUAUUUAUACUGCUUUGAAUGUACCUUAUGAAUAAGGAUAGGCUAACUCCGUUCCAGCAGCCGCGGUAAUACGGAGGAUACGAGCGUUAUCCGGCUUUUUUGGGGUUAAAGGGGGCGUAGGCGGGUGUUUAAGUCAGGUGUGAAAGUUUGGGGCUGAACCGUAAAAUUGCAGUUGAUACUGGCAGCCUUGAGUACGGUAGAGGGAGGCGGAAUGCGUGGUGGAGCGGUGAAAUGCUUAGAUAUCACGAAGAACGCCGAUUGCGAAGGCAGCCUGCUGGACUGUAACUGACGCUGAUGCUCGAAAGUGUGGGUAUCGAACAGGAUUAGAUACCCUUGUAGUC